GAUGAACGCUGGCGGCGUGCCUAAUACAUGCCAGUCGAGCGAACAGACGAGGAGCUUGCUCCUCUGACGUUAGCGGCGGACGGGUGAGUAACACGUGGAUAACCUACCUAUAAGACUGGGAUAACUUCGGGAAACCGGAGCUAAUACCGGAUAAUAUAUUGAACCGCAUGGUUCAAUAGUGAAAGACGGUUUUGCUGUCACUUAUAGAUGGAUCCGCGCCGCAUUAGCUAGUUGGUAAGGUAACGGCUUACCAAGGCGACGAUGCGUAGCCGACCUGAGAGGGUGAUCGGCCACACUGGAACUGAGACACGGUCCAGACUCCUACGGGAGGCAGCAGUAGGGAAUCUUCCGCAAUGGGCGGAAGCUUGACGGAGCAACGCCGCGUGAGUGAUGAAGGUCUUCGGAUCGUAAAACUCUGUUAUUAGGGAAGAACAAAUGUGUAAGUAACUAUGCACGUCUUGACGGUACCUAAUCAGAAAGCCACGGCUAACUACGUG
RNAcentral lists this ribosomal RNA (497 nucleotides) under uncultured bacterium. RNAcentral describes it as "partial 16S ribosomal RNA". It matches the Rfam family "Bacterial small subunit ribosomal RNA", at positions 28 to 507 of the family's 1533-position model. The record is from RNAcentral.